Molecule: transfer RNA, 82 nt
Filed under: Planctomycetia bacterium
Lineage: Bacteria; Pseudomonadati; Planctomycetota; Planctomycetia
Description: tRNA-Leu
Rfam family: tRNA
About the family: Transfer RNA (tRNA) molecules are approximately 80 nucleotides in length. Their secondary structure includes four short double-helical elements and three loops (D, anti-codon, and T loops).
Source: RNAcentral
GCAAAAGUGGCGGAAUUGGCAGACGCGCAGGAUUUAGGUUCCUGUGGGGUAACCCGUGGGGGUUCGAUUCCCCCCUUUUGUA